This is a small nuclear RNA of Gracilinanus agilis (Agile Gracile Mouse Opossum), 104 nucleotides long. Lineage: Eukaryota; Metazoa; Chordata; Mammalia; Didelphimorphia; Didelphidae. The record is from RefSeq and is a predicted model, not a curated record.
GUGCUUGCUUUGGUAGCACAUAUACUAAAAACUUGGAAUGAUACAGAGAUUAACAUGGACUCUGCACAAGGAUGUCACAAAUUCAUGAAGUGUUCUGUAUUUUU